UCGGGGGUGGUGUAAUCGGCAACACAGCAGGUUCUGGCCCUGUCGUUGGGGGUUCGAGUCCUCCCCCCCGAGCAA
This 75-nucleotide transfer RNA is filed under the name Actinomycetes bacterium. Its description in RNAcentral is "Actinobacteria bacterium tRNA-Gln". It matches the Rfam family "tRNA". From Rfam's summary of the family: Transfer RNA (tRNA) molecules are approximately 80 nucleotides in length. The record is from RNAcentral. Lineage: Bacteria; Bacillati; Actinomycetota; Actinomycetes.